RNAcentral lists this transfer RNA (69 nucleotides) under Ovis aries (sheep). It matches the Rfam family "tRNA". From Rfam's summary of the family: Transfer RNA (tRNA) molecules are approximately 80 nucleotides in length. Lineage: Eukaryota; Metazoa; Chordata; Mammalia; Artiodactyla; Bovidae. RNAcentral also lists the same sequence under 3 other names. The record is from Rfam by way of RNAcentral.
CCUGGUGGCUCAGAUGGUAAAGUGUCUGCCUGCAAUGCAGGAGACCCAGGUUCGAUUCCUGGGUCAGGA